ACUUCUGCUGCGGUGUAGUGUAGAGGGAGAGCUGUAACAAACAUACAACAUUUUACAUGGGUCAGUUACCUCAUACCAAUGUUGGCUUGCCUCAGACAGGAAGUAUGCUGACAGACUUCAGAAAGUGUGAUUCUGUGCACAAUGCAGUACCUCAUUUGUAUUUAAGGUGACAUUGGGCUUGUCCUCGGGCGGCAGCAAACACAGUAGCUGACAUCAAGCUGAGAGUUACGGGCACAGCAGCCACCCCUGCUACCUGAGGAGACACAGAACAACUGGGACAUCAACAGUUUGGUCUACACUCUCAGAGAAAUGAAAAUUUGGCAGUACGUCCAACCGGCCUCACAACCGCAGACCAUGAGUAACCACGCCAGCCCUGGACCUCCAAAUCCGGCUUCUUCAAUUACGGGAUCAUCAUAGGGGGUCUCCUGCUGCACCACCCUCUUCUGUGGUUUCUACAACACCCCAUCCCUCACAACCUGCCACUAACUUCAUACCCCUCCCCUCAACUCGCACCUCUGCCCGUGCAUGCACCACAGCUGCCCGCAAGACACAUCUGUAUAUCCUUGGGGGUACACUGAAGGAUGAGAAUAAUGAAGUAACAGAGGGAAAAAAACAACCAUUAGAGAAUGGAACCUGCCCAAAAUUAGACAAGAGAAAAAGACAUGGAAGGAAGUAUUGUGAAGCACCCCAGAUAGUUGUGCCAUUGGGACUGAAGGAAGACUCCAGUGAGGAUUCCCUCUCAGAUUUUGAGUGGGAAGAGGAAGCAGUGAAACUGCUCGUGGACAAGGCAGCUUGCUCUGGACAAUGUGAUGCCCACCUGAAACUACUGUAGAACUUCAACUGGAAAAGACUAAAGGAUACAGAAUUAAAAUGACUAUGGGUAGCAUUACCCUGCUCCACUCAUAUGGGUGGGUUAGUUUUCUGUUCUUUCUUUGCACACAAAUCGU
Salvelinus namaycush (lake trout) is the source of this 947-nucleotide long non-coding RNA. RefSeq lists it as uncharacterized. The transcript is spliced from 4 exons. NCBI's taxonomy places the organism in Eukaryota, Metazoa, Chordata, Actinopteri, Salmoniformes, Salmonidae. The record is from RefSeq and is a predicted model, not a curated record.